Molecule: long non-coding RNA, 497 nt
Organism: Cygnus olor (mute swan)
Lineage: Eukaryota; Metazoa; Chordata; Aves; Anseriformes; Anatidae
Exons: 3
Source: RefSeq, a predicted model, not a curated record
CGUCCUUCUGCUGGAGCUGGGCUCUUCUUUGGUGCAUAUUGCCAGAGCAGCAACGGGCCCCUGACACAUCUGCAGUUUGCAGGCUACCGCUGGGGUGUUUCUUCUGCUUGAGGAGGCGUUCUGUGGGGUGGCAGCUCUGGGAAGGAGCAGGGUACGAGGGGAGCACGAGGCUGCAAAGCCCACCUUCACAGAAUCACAGAAUCACGGAAUGGUUGAGGCUGGAAGGGAUCUCUGGAGGCCAUCUGGUCCAACCCCCCUGGCUCAAGCUGGGCCACCGAGAUCAGAUUGCCUAGGAUCAUGUCCAACAACUUUUAAAAGUCUCCAUGGAAGGGAGAUUCCACAGCCUCACUGGGUAAAAUGCUGCUAUAAAGGGUAGCAGCUGUGGGGAGUGAGGGGAACCCUGUUGCCACUCCUGCAGGUGCCUUCACAGGUGCAAGGGAAGGAUGAACCUUGCUCAGGACUUCCUUCCCAAAGUAGGUGCAUGUGCCCCUUAUAAU